Molecule: ribosomal RNA, 928 nt
Filed under: uncultured bacterium
Lineage: Bacteria
Description: bacterial SSU rRNA
Rfam family: Bacterial small subunit ribosomal RNA
Source: RNAcentral
UAGAUGCAGUCGAACGGGGAACUCUUUCGAGGGUUUCUAGUGGCGAACGGUCGCGUAACACGUAAGCAACCUGCCCGGAAGUGGGGGACAACAGCCCGAAAGGGCUGCUAAUACCGCAUGUGGCCAACCAUUGGCAUCAUUGGUUGUCUAAAGCUUGAUUAACGUCAGUGCUUCCGGAUGGGCUUGCGGCCUAUCAGCUAGUUGGUGGGGUAAUGGCUCACCAAGGCAUCGACGGGUAGCUGGUCUGAGAGGAUGGUCAGCCGGAUUGGGACUGAGAUACGGCCCAGACUCCUACGGGGGGCAGCAAUUAGGAAUCUUGCGCAAUGGGGGCAACCCUGACGCAGCGACGCCGCGUGCGGGAUGAAGGCAUUCGUGUCGUAAACCGCUUUUUCCAGGGAAGAAGAAAGUGACGGUACCUGGUGAAUAAGCCCCGGCUAACUACGUGCCAGCAGCCGCGGUAAUACGUAGGGGGCGAGCGUUGUCCGAAGUUACUGGGCGUAAAGCGCGCGUAGGCGGUUUCUUAAGUCUGGGGUGAAAGGUUCAGCGCUCAACGCGAACAGUGCCCUGGAUACUGGGAGACUUGAGUUUGGGAGAGGGAAGCGGAAUUCCGGGUGUAGCGGUGAAAUGCGUAGAUAUCCGGAGGAACACCGAUGGCGAAGGCAGCUUCCUGGCCUUUAACUGACGCUGAGGCGCGAAAGCGUGGGGAGCGAACGGGAUUAGAUACCCCGGUAGUCCACGCCGUAAACGAUGAGUGCCAGGUGUCGGGGGUAUCGACCCCCCCGGUGCCGUCGCUAACGCUUUAAGCACUCCGCCUGGGGAGUACGGCCGCAGGUUGAAACUCAAAGGAAUUGACGGGGGCCCGCACAAGCGGUGGAGCAUGUGGAUUAAUUCGUCACUAAACCGAAGAACCUUACCCAGGCUUGACAUC